Molecule: ribosomal RNA, 497 nt
Filed under: uncultured bacterium
Lineage: Bacteria
Description: partial 16S ribosomal RNA
Rfam family: Bacterial small subunit ribosomal RNA
Source: RNAcentral
GAUGAACGCUGGCGGCGUGCCUAAUACAUGCAAGUCGAGCGAACAGAUGAUGAGCUUGCUCCUCUGACGUUAGCGGCGGACGGGUGAGUAACGCGUGUAUCACCUACCUAUCAGACUGAUAUAUCUUCGGGAAUCCGGAUCUUAUACCGUAUAAUAUAUUGAACCGCAUGGUUCAAUAGUGAAUUACGGUUUUUCUGUCUCUUCUAGAUGCAUCUGCGCCGCAUUAGAUGGUUGUGAAGGUCACGGCCUACCAAGGCAACGAGGCGUAGACGAGGGGAGAGGCUGAUAGGCCACACUAGAACUGAGACGCGGUCAAGGCUACUACGGGAGGCAGCAGUAGGGAACCUUACGCAGCGGGCGAAAGCAUGACGGAGCAAGGCCGAGUGAGUGGUGACAAUCUUGCGAUCGUAAAGCUCUGUUAUGAGGGAAAAACAAAUGUGGCAGUAACUAUGCACGUAUUGACGGUACCUAAUAAGAAAGCAACGGCUAACUACGUG